CCUACGGGAGGCAGCAGUGAGGAAUAUUGGUCAAUGGGCGCAAGCCUGAACCAGCCAAGCAGCGUGAAGGAUGACGGCCCUACGGGUUGUAAACUUCUUUUGUACAGGAGUAAAGUGAGGCACGCGUACCUUUUUGUAAGUACUUUAUGAAUAAGGAUCGGCUAACUCCGUGCCAGCAGCCGCGGUAAUACGGAGGAUCCGAGCGUUAUCCGGAUUUAUUGGGUUUAAAGGGUGCGUAGACGGGAUGUUAAGUCAGUUGUGAAAGCCUGAGGCGCAACCGUAAAAUUGCAACUGAUACUGGCAGGCUUGAGUGCAGUUGCGGUAGGCGGAAUGCGUGGUGUAGCGGUGAAAUGCUUAGAGAUCACACAGAACACCGAUUGCGAAGGCAGCCUACUAAGCUGCCACUGACAUUGAUGCUCGAAAGUGUGGGGAUCAAACAGGAUUAGAUACCCUUGUAGUC
This 460-nucleotide ribosomal RNA is filed under the name uncultured bacterium. RNAcentral describes it as "partial 16S ribosomal RNA". It matches the Rfam family "Bacterial small subunit ribosomal RNA", at positions 338 to 795 of the family's 1533-position model. The record is from RNAcentral.